GGAAAUAUUGCACCUGUAACAUUGCUUAUCACAUUGGAGCUUCAUAAGUCUGUCUUUACAAAAACAAGAACCAAAAGGAGCUGUGCUAUGGGUGCAUGCAUCGUGCCAAGGCCAACAGUCUGCUGUACUGCUGAGAGGAAACAUAAAAAAAGGAUCCAGAGACCAAGAAGAUUCUAUGGAGAUACCAGAUAAUGAAGACAAGGACGCUGUGUUCAAGAACCA
Long non-coding RNA from Erinaceus europaeus (western European hedgehog), 222 nucleotides. RefSeq lists it as uncharacterized. The transcript is spliced from 2 exons. The record is from RefSeq and is a predicted model, not a curated record. NCBI's taxonomy places the organism in Eukaryota, Metazoa, Chordata, Mammalia, Eulipotyphla, Erinaceidae.